UUGCCAGUUGACUUUUACUUUGGCGGCCAUGUAUCAAUUCUUUCGAUAACAACUGAUGAGUGGCUAACCCUAGCUGCAUGAUAACAGUGCCUAAAACAAGUUGAUUCAUCACCACAGUCAAUUUAUGUGCAACAAGGUAGGAAAGACAACAUUUUUUUAUUUUUUUUUAUUUUUUACAGAUAACACGCAAUCAUGAAACACCAAGGAGAUAAGACAGAAAACCGAAGAAACCUUUUUGCCCCUUUCAGACCUCCACCAAGUUAGUACAGGAUCUGCUCCGAUCAUUUCAUCACAGGUUCACCAGCUGACCUCUAACAGGACACCCAUGUCGACUGGAUUCCCACUGCGAAGACAAGCAACCCUGCAGCAGCAUGAGUUUCUACUACUUUGUCCCUUUCCUUUCCCUCAGUUAUUCAACGUGGUUGUCAUAUGCUGUGCUUUGGUCAAUCUGAAUGAUUCUGUUGUGCCAUUUAAGUAGAGAGCACCGUCACCUUGUCGUCAUGCCAAAAAAAUGCUCCCUUAAACCGUAUGAAUUUAUAAAAUGUAAUUUGGUACAACAUGUAAAAGACUAUUGUUUAUGAUAUUGUAAACAUACUGGACAUGAAUAAUGGUGCAAUGAAAAGUAUUGUGUGUGAUCUCUGCUUUGCCAUGCCUCAUUUGAAUAAAAUGUAUUUCUAAUAGA
This is a long non-coding RNA of Salvelinus fontinalis (brook trout), 682 nucleotides long. RefSeq lists it as uncharacterized. NCBI's taxonomy places the organism in Eukaryota, Metazoa, Chordata, Actinopteri, Salmoniformes, Salmonidae. The record is from RefSeq and is a predicted model, not a curated record. The transcript has 2 exons.